This 581-nucleotide ribosomal RNA is filed under the name uncultured bacterium. RNAcentral's name for it is "bacterial SSU rRNA". It matches the Rfam family "Bacterial small subunit ribosomal RNA", at positions 102 to 694 of the family's 1533-position model. The record is from RNAcentral.
ACGGGUGAGUAACACGUGAGUAACCUGCCCUUGACUCUGGGAUAAGCCUGGGAAACUGGGUCUAAUACCGGAUACGACCAUCUGGCGCAUGUCAUGGUGGUGGAAAGCUUUUGUGGUUUUGGAUGGACUCGCGGCCUAUCAGCUUGUUGGUGGGGUAAUGGCCUACCAAGGCGACGACGGGUAGCCGGCCUGAGAGGGUGACCGGCCACACUGGGACUGAGACACGGCCCAGACUCCUACGGGAGGCAGCAGUGGGGAAUAUUGCACAAUGGGCGCACGCCUGAUGCAGCGACGCCGCGUGAGGGAUGACGGCCUUCGGGUUGUAAACCUCUUUCAGUAGGGAAGAAGCCGUAAGGUGACGGUACCUGCAGGAGAAGCGCCGGCUAACUACGUGCCAGCAGCCGCGGUAAUACGUAGGGCGCAAGCGUUAUCCGGAAUUAUUGGGCGUAAAGAGCUCGUAGGCGGUUUGUCGCGUCUGCUGUGAAAGACCGGGGCUCAACUCCGGUUCUGCAGUGGGUACGGGCAGACUAGAGUGCAGUAGGGGAGACUGGAAUUCCUGGUGUAGCGGUGAAAUGCGCAGA